UGAGCAGUGAUGAAAAGCUAACACGUAAGAAGACUCUCCUUUGUGGAGAAUUCUUCGAUGAGAUAUACUUGUUACGCUUGGCUUCUGAGCUUU
Jatropha curcas is the source of this 93-nucleotide non-coding RNA. The record is from Rfam. Lineage: Eukaryota; Viridiplantae; Streptophyta; Magnoliopsida; Malpighiales; Euphorbiaceae.